This is a non-coding RNA of Danio rerio (zebrafish), 473 nucleotides long. The record is from RefSeq and is a predicted model, not a curated record. NCBI's taxonomy places the organism in Eukaryota, Metazoa, Chordata, Actinopteri, Cypriniformes, Danionidae.
AAUUGUCAUGUGUUUGUGUGUGUUUUGCAGUGUCCUGCUGUGCUCCGGCUGAGCCUCAGCUGCUAUGGACGGAUCUCCGAAACAUGUCCCUCUUCACUCCUGCAGCUCUAAACAGUCUGAAAUGCGUGUAAUGUCCUGUAACUGUCUCUUCAUGAUUGGCUGUGAGGAAAUGUUGAGCGGAUUGAGGAGAGGACACACCUCCACCUGUCCGGAUGCUUCAAACACAUCCUCAUGUAAUAGUACUGGAGCAUUAGCAUGUGCUGGUAAUUAACUCUACGGGACUUUUAAAAUGUUUAUUCACGGGUUUAUUUUCUUUACUUGAGAGCAAAGCAGAGCAUGUAUGAACGCAGAGCGAGUCCAACUGAACAACGAGCACAUUAUUCCAUUCGUUCAUUUUAUUUGAUGUUUCGAUGAAGUAAUUGUCCUGUAAUUAGUUUUAGUCUAGGUGAGCUAAUUAAAAUGUGAAAACCAUA